RNAcentral lists this ribosomal RNA (468 nucleotides) under uncultured bacterium. RNAcentral's name for it is "partial 16S ribosomal RNA". It matches the Rfam family "Bacterial small subunit ribosomal RNA", at positions 28 to 507 of the family's 1533-position model. The record is from RNAcentral.
GACGAACGCUGGCGGCGUGCUUAACACAUGCAAGUCGAACGGAAAGGCCCUGCUUUUGUGGGGUGCUCGAGUGGCGAACGGGUGAGUAACACGUGAGUAACCUGCCCUUGACUUUGGGAUAACUUCAGGAAACUGGGGCUAAUACCGGAUAGGAGCUCCUGCGGCAGGGUGGGGGUGGGAAAGUUUCGGCGGUUGGGGAUGGACUCGCGGCUUAUCAGCUUGUUGGUGGGGUAGUGGCUUACCAAGGCUUUGACGGGUAGCCGGCCUGAGAGGGUGACCGGCCACAUUGGGACUGAGAUACGGCCCAGACUCCUACGGGAGGCAGCAGUGGGGAAUAUUGCACAAUGGGCGGAAGCCUGAUGCAGCAACGCCGCGUGCGGGAUGACGGCCUUCGGGUUGUAAACCGCUUUCGCCUGUGACGAAGCGUGAGUGACGGUAAUGGGUAAAGAAGCACCGGCUAACUACGUG